CGGGACACGUGGUAUCCUGUCUGAAUAUGGGGGGACCAUCCUCCAAGGCUAAAUACUCCUGACUGACCGAUAGUGAACCAGUACCGUGAGGGAAAGGCGAAAAGAACCCCGGCGAGGGGAGUGAAAAAGAACCUGAAACCGUGUACGUACAAGCAGUGGGAGCACGCUUAGGCGUGUGACUGCGUACCUUUUGUAUAAUGGGUCAGCGACUUAUAUUCUGUAGCAAGGUUAACCGAAUAGGGGAGCCGAAGGGAAACCGAGUCUUAACUGGGCGUUAAGUUGCAGGGUAUAGACCCGAAACCCGGUGAUCUAGCCAUGGGCAGGUUGAAGGUUGGGUAACACUAACUGGAGGACCGAACCGACUAAUGUUGAAAAAUUAGCGGAUGACUUGUGGCUGGGGGUGAAAGGCCAAUCAAACCGGGAGAUAGCUGGUUCUCCCCGAAAGCUAUUUAGGUAGCGCCUCGUGAAUUCAUCUCCGGGGGUAGAGCACUGUUUCGGCAAGGGGGUCAUCCCGACUUACCAACCCGAUGCAAACUGCGAAUACCGGAGAAUGUUAUCACGGGAGACACACGGCGGGUGCUAACGUCCGUCGUGAAGAGGGAAACAACCCAGACCGCCAGCUAAGGUCCCAAAGUCAUGGUUAAGUGGGAAACGAUGUGGGAAGGCCCAGACAGCCAGGAUGUUGGCUUAGAAGCAGCCAUCAUUUAAAGAAAGCGUAAUAGCUCACUGGUCGAGUCGGCCUGCGCGGAAGAUGUAACGGGGCUAAACCAUGCACCGAAGCUGCGGCAGCGACGCUGAUGCGUUGUUGGGUAGGGGAGCGUUCUGUAAGCCUGUGAAGGUGUGCUGUGAGGCAUGCUGGAGGUAUCAGAAGUGCGAAUGCUGACAUAAGUAACGAUAAAGCGGGUGAAAAGCCCGCUCGCCGGAAGACCAAGGGUUCCUGUCCAACGUUAAUCGGGGCAGGGUGAGUCGACCCCUAAGGCGAGGCCGAAAGGCGUAGUCGAUGGGAAACAGGUUAAUAUUCCUGUACUUGGUGUUACUGCGAAGGGGGGACGGAGAAGGCUAUGUUGGCCGGGCGACGGUUGUCCCGGUUUAAGCGUGUAGGCUGGUUUUCCAGGCAAAUCCGGAAAAUCAAGGCUGAGGCGUGAUGACGAGGCACUACGGUGCUGAAGCAACAAAUGCCCUGCUUCCAGGAAAAGCCUCUAAGCAUCAGGUAACAUCAAAUCGUACCCCAAACCGACACAGGUGGUCAGGUAGAGAAUACCAAGGCGCUUGAGAGAACUCGGGUGAAGGAACUAGGCAAAAUGGUGCCGUAACUUCGGGAGAAGGCACGCUGAUAUGUAGGUGAAGCGACUUGCUCGUGGAGCUGAAAUCAGUCGAAGAUACCAGCUGGCUGCAACUGUUUAUUAAAAACACAGCACUGUGCAAACACGAAAGUGGACGUAUACGGUGUGACGCCUGCCCGGUGCCGGAAGGUUAAUUGAUGGGGUCAGCGCAAGCGAAGCUCUUGAUCGAAGCCCCGGUAAACGGCGGCCGUAACUAUAACGGUCCUAAGGUAGCGAAAUUCCUUGUCGGGUAAGUUCCGACCUGCACGAAUGGCGUAAUGAUGGCCAGGCUGUCUCCACCCGAGACUCAGUGAAAUUGAACUCGCUGUGAAGAUGCAGUGUACCCGCGGCAAGACGGAAAGACCCCGUGAACCUUUACUAUAGCUUGACACUGAACAUUGAGCCUUGAUGUGUAGGAUAGGUGGGAGGCUUUGAAGUGUGGACGCCAGUCUGCAUGGAGCCGGCCUUGAAAUACCACCCUUUAAUGUUUGAUGUUCUAACGUUGACCCGUGAUCCGGGUUGCGGACAGUGUCUG
RNAcentral lists this ribosomal RNA (1857 nucleotides) under Escherichia coli. Its description in RNAcentral is "partial 23S ribosomal RNA". It matches the Rfam family "Bacterial large subunit ribosomal RNA", at positions 418 to 2260 of the family's 2925-position model. Lineage: Bacteria; Pseudomonadati; Pseudomonadota; Gammaproteobacteria; Enterobacterales; Enterobacteriaceae. The record is from RNAcentral.